GACAACGUAUCUUGAAACCACAAAAAAAAAACAAAAAACCAUAAGUGGUAGACUCUCCUUUGACUUCAAAUGGCAAACCCUAAUUUCUAAAUCACACACAAAAACAAAAUCACGUUGCUGACAAAAAAUUUGGUCCUCUACUGCGCUGCUUGCCGACAACAAAUUGCUACUCUUCGUCUUCGUCUUCGUCUUCGUCUUUGUUAAGGAAGCUCAUUUGAGCAAAAUGGUCAGCAAAGCAGAGGAUUGUAACAGUUGCAGUUCACAGUUACAAGUUGAUGACUUGGGAUGCCAGCUGGCACCUGGUGGUUAUAUAGUUUCUUGUACACGUGAAUAUUAGUUUUAGUUUUGUUAUAGUAGCUAUUAAGUAUGUUUAGCAUGUUUAGUUAGCUAAGCAAAAUUAGUUGUGUACAGUUUCUUUUGUAAUUUUUGAUGAAUGAAGUAGAAAACAAAUUUCCAGAAUCUUCUUAUUUUCUCUCAAUAUUUUCUUAGUUUCCAAACGUCUUGAUUCUUAUAUGUCUUCAUCCUUACUCUUCGAUCUGCUGCUGCUACUACUUGCCGAUGAACAACACGCACAAGUUCAGCUAGGUCUUUACUUCCUCUUUUUCUUAUAUUAUAUUCUUUUGAUUUGAUUUGAUUUUUCUGUGAUCUAUACGCCAUUUAUUUUGAUCGAUCUGAUUGCUAUUCUAUGAUGUUGUUUAUUUUUUGGUGAACCACUAGCUUUCAAUUGAUUUUGAUUUAUUUGCUAGAUCUAGGGUUUUGUAUUGGCUUAUUAGUUUAGUAGUUAUGUAUCGACAUGUUUUUUCCUUUAAUUUUGAUUUUUUUUACUUCUCUCAUUCUAAUUUAGAUAAUUUUAGGGUUAUGCUUGAAUUAAUUAUUCUUUUAAUCAACUUAGGGUUGGAUUUAAUUGAUUCUAAGUCUCAUCUCUGUUCCCAUUCAAAAAAUAAGUACGCACAAAUAGUUUUCAUUUUAUUCUCAGUCAUUGCCAUGUGAUAAUUUUGUUUCUUUGAAUUAAUUUAUUUAAUCUUCGGUUAAUACACUUCUCUUUGAAUUAAUUUUGUUUGUUUGAAUUAAUCAUGGCCAUGUGAUGGAGUUCAUUUAUCAUUGGGAAGAAAAAAGUAGAUGAGAAGGAAUAUCAUGUUCAAGAGAUUAAGGACAACAUGCUGGACUAAUUAUCGAUUAUUUUAAAAUUAUGUUUUGGCUUAAACUACCCAUGUCACUAGCAUUAUUUCAAAAUCUGAAUAACCUCAUCUCUUUCUCAGACUGAAAGGCUAGCAUAGCAUUGGGCUGUUGCCUUUACUGAUUGAGAAGUGAAGUUCUAAACAGUGGCUCUAUACUGGAAACUUGGUUUCAUCUGCGUUAAUACUUUUGGUAAUUUCAGAACAAGAACUGGAAUCUAAAUAAGUAGUAGAAAUUUUUUUAUGUAAUUCUCAAGAUUUUUGAUAUCCUGAAUUUAUGGAUUAGUUAGAUAUCUAAUUUCUUCACUUUUUAAAGUGGAAAUUACUAGUUGCUUGAUGAGUAUGAUAAGUUUACUGCAAAAUACUUGUCUAGGACGCCCUCUGCUAUGAUGGGCUCUAAUGUGUUGAUUUCUCUGAUUUCUGCCCUGGAAGAAACUUUCCAUUUCUCUAAUUUAUGUUGUUUUUUUUUUAACCAUUGUUGCUAUUUUAACUGCUAGCUUUUUUUUUUAUUGAAUUUAACUGCUGUUGGUUUUUUUUAUGGGUU
This 1719-nucleotide long non-coding RNA is filed under the name Citrus x clementina. RNAcentral's name for it is "Citrus clementina (C. clementina) long non-coding RNA (CCLE_LNC002840)". The record is from RNAcentral. Lineage: Eukaryota; Viridiplantae; Streptophyta; Magnoliopsida; Sapindales; Rutaceae.